GCGGCUGGAUCCCCGCCGAGGGCAAGCAGAUCUUCUUCUUGAUGGCGAGGUGAGGCCCGAGUUGCCUCCAUUAGCCGUCGUUUGUAUUAUUUUCCCUUUGUAGACUCACGAUUCAUAUAUUAUUUCUUUCUACUGUAGGUCAACAAGUACAGAAAGUAGGCCAUAUAAAUUGCAGGUUGUAGUGUCAGCAAUAAGCAGGGGACGCAUCAAGACAUCGGGUAGUACCAUGAAUGUUUUUAUUAACAAGAGAAUAGUACUCCCUCCAUUCUAAAAUUCUUGUCUUAGGUUUGUCGGAUGUAUCUAAAUACUAAAACAUGAAUACAUUUAUAUCUAGACAAAUUUAAGACAAAAACUUUGAAACGGAGGAAGUACUUUACAGGAGAAUAAUAAAUUUUUAGUUUUUAUAUGCAUAAUAUAAUAAAUAAUGUGCAAUGUCCAUGUACGAAAAUACAGUGGACACCUAUCCUGAAGCUAGAACUGUUGCAUUGUCGCCCUAUAUCUUGCUUGCAUGCUUGUAUGAAUAAAGCACCAUUGCUGAAUGGCUUGAUGAUACUUGUACCAAUAGUUGUUAUCAUAUACUCCCUCCGUUCCUAAAUAUAAGUCUUUUAAGCGAUUUCACUAAAGGACUACGUACAUAGCAAAAUGAAUGAAUCUACACUCUAAAGUAUGUCUAUAUACAUCCGUAUCUAGUCCUCUAGUGAAAUCUCUAAAAAGACUUAUAUUAUGAAACGGAGGGAGCAGUACCUAGCAUCGGUGGAGUCAAUUUCUAUGAGACUCAUUGGAUCUUCAUGCAACCCAUGUCAGCUUAUGUGUGAAAUCGUACAACAUUGUAUCUAGCUUGUGUACUGUCUAGUGUCUACUGCUGUGUGUGAAUAAGCAGUAGUCAUGGCAGUUAAUCUGCUUGUUGCUUUUAAUCUAUUAUCGGUGUUCUCCAUUAUAUAUUGCCUGUCAAUAUAAGCGUUUCAACCCAUUCAUUUUGAAUCUGUUGGCAGCAGUCAACUCACAAGUACAUUCUUUUGCUUCAUCAUUAUAUGUUACCAUGUCAAUUUAAGACCACUAGUUGAUGCUGAACAAGUUAUAUAUAUAAUGCUGUGAAUUUGUUAGUGCUCUUGCACGUAUUUUAGAAGUAGCACCUCCUUGCAUAUAUUUGAUACAGUUUGAUAAUUUUGACAGGUGAGAAUUGGUCUUUGUGGUAAUUGCACCGCCACCCCCUCCCCUCGCAUGGAUCCGUGGAUCUCGGCCGCCUACCAUGGGUUUGCUUGCUCCCCGCCGUUUCUGUACAUGAUUUGAUUUCCGGUCGCCUUUGGUUGCGCUCCGUGCAGGUCCUACUGAUUUUUUGAGGGGAGGGGACUCACAUCGUCAUCUCCUUGUUCGAGAGACUCCAAAAUGUGCAUCCAGCUGCUUCUCUCAACCCCGAGGAACGCCCAGACGGAUGUAAGUGCUCAUGCAUUCAUCUGGACCUCUUAUUGUAGUAGCUCAUAUGCUUGAUGCCUGUAUCUCCGCCUCUUUACUGUUUUGCUAGAACCAUAAAUCCUGAUGCAUGAUGAUCAUGGUCUGGUUUAUUAGAUUUGUUCUGUUGGUGUUUAAAAUUUGACAUGCAUGGAUUCUGAAUGAACUCGUUCUUACAAUUCUUUUCAUUUUUAUGAUCAAUUUAAUUAGAGUUGCACAUGUCAGUAUACUAUACACCACAAAAAAUCCUAGCUAGUGUGAGAACAUUUUAAUCCCUUCAUAAACACAUAGUGAUUAGUGUUAGUCAUACUAUUUAUGUACAUUUCAUUUUCUGUCAAUUCUUGCUUCUAAGUUAUUGGAUCCCUCAUUGACCACUGUUUGAUGUUGUUUACACAUUCUUAUUCUUAUAUGUCCAUUCUUAUUUUUUGCACAGGUGAAGUGUGAAUCCAAGUCCGAAGUUGUGAAGCAUAUUAACAAAGAGUAGCAUAUUAUGUGUCGUAAUUCUAGGCAGUAGUAGGCUUAUGUGUGCUAUAGUAUACUAUAACGAUUGUAAUAGACUAAUGUAGUGUUGUUUUCGAUGAAUUUCAUUUGCUUUCUAGAUUGUUCAAAAUAAUGAUUGUGUAUGUGAUUUGAAUACCCGUGAAAUGGUAACCUGACAAAGGGGUCCAAAGGGUCCAAGUUAUAAUGGUUGUUUGACAUAUUUUGAAAUUUCUGAUGUGUGGGACCAAUUUUGAGAUAAGCAUGACAAGUCGGACUAAUCUAACUGGUGGGACCAGCUGCAAAAUAAAAUGGCUAAAAUAUAAAAUCAGUAGAGAAUAAAAGGCUGCAUCCUAGAAAAUAAAAGGCCGAAUUGCUAGGCUAGGCCCAUGUAGCUAGCGAAAAUUAACAGGA
RNAcentral lists this long non-coding RNA (2340 nucleotides) under Hordeum vulgare. RNAcentral's name for it is "long non-coding RNA (HVUL_LNC002579)". The stretch from base 251 to 375 matches the Rfam family "MIR1120/MIR1122 microRNA precursor family". Lineage: Eukaryota; Viridiplantae; Streptophyta; Magnoliopsida; Poales; Poaceae. The record is from RNAcentral.